GACGAACCGAGCGAACGUUGUUCGGAAUAACUGGGCAUAAAGGGCGCGUAGGCGGUUCCGAAAGUGGCAUGUGAAAUCCCCCGGCUCAACCGGGGAAGUGCGUGCCAAACUUCGGUGCUAGAGGGCGGUAGGGGGGACUGGAACUCUCGGUGGAGCGGUGAAAUGCGUAGAUAUCGAGAGGAACACCGGUGGCGAAGGCGAGUCCCUGGUCCGCUUCUGACGCUGAGGCGCGAAAGCGUGGGUAGCAAACAGG
RNAcentral lists this ribosomal RNA (253 nucleotides) under uncultured bacterium. RNAcentral's name for it is "partial 16S ribosomal RNA". It matches the Rfam family "Bacterial small subunit ribosomal RNA", at positions 524 to 776 of the family's 1533-position model. The record is from RNAcentral.